This 301-nucleotide ribosomal RNA is filed under the name uncultured bacterium. RNAcentral's name for it is "partial 16S ribosomal RNA". It matches the Rfam family "Bacterial small subunit ribosomal RNA", at positions 509 to 809 of the family's 1533-position model. The record is from RNAcentral.
CAGCCGCCACGGUAAUACAGAAGAUGCAAGCGUUAUCCGGAAUGAUUGGGCGUAAAGCGUCUGUAGGUGGCUUUUCAAGUCCACCUUCAAAUCCCAGGGCUCAACCCUGGACAGGCGGUGGAAACUACCAAGCUAGAGUACGGUAGGGGCAGAGGGAAUUUCCGGUGGAGCAGUGAAAUGCGUUGAGAUCGGAAAGAACACCAACGGCGAAAGCACUCUACUGGGCCGACACUGACACUGAGAGACGAAAGCUAGGGGAGCAAAUGGGAUUAGAUACCCCAGUAGUCCCUGUCUCUUAUAA